GCGGAAGUCACGUGGUUUCUGAAUUUAGUAGUUGGUUGCUGCUCCCGGUUGCUAGCGGCUUAGACGAAGAAAGGGUCGCUGUCGCGGUUGUCUGCGGCGAAGCUCUUUGAAAGAGACAUUUAAAAUAAAACAAGACACCGACUUUUCUUUCAAGGGACCGGAGUUCCACUUGCAUUGAAACCUGUGACACACCGACACCGAAACAACGGAGGAAAGAUAAGAAAACAAUGUCCCACUAUCGUAGCUCGUCUCGGGCCACCGACUGCAAAGUGUAUGUGGGUGACUUGGGUAAUGGUGCGGCCAAGGGUGAGCUGGAACGAGCGUUCAGUUACUAUGGUCCACUAAGGAGUGUCUGGGUGGCGAGAAACCCACCUGGGUUUGCCUUUGUGGAGUUUGAGGAUCCACGGGAUGCAGAGGACGCGGUGAAAGGCAUGGACGGAAAGCUGCUCUGUGGAUCUCGUGUUCGUGUUGAGAUGUCGACAGGCAUGUCCAGAAAAGGCCGUGGUCGCCCCAGUCGACGCCAGUUUGACCCCAAUGAUCGUUGUUACCAAUGUGGGGACAGGGGCCAUUAUGCUUAUGACUGCUAUCGUUUUAGCAAAAGAGGCCGUCGCAGCAGGUCCCGUUCUCAUUCACGCUCACGCUCCAGGUCUAGGUCUCGUGGCCGCCGUUACCGCUCUCAUUCUCGUAGCCGUAGCAGGAGCCGCCGCAGAUCACCUUCUUACAACCGCCGCAGGAGCAGGUCUGGCUCCCCCGCCCGUUCCAGAAGUGCUGCAAGAAGUCGAUCCAGGUCUCGCUCUCGUUCUGGCUCUGCUCCAAGGCGCUCGUUUUCCCGCUCUCGCUCCAGAUCACCAUCAGCCAAUCACAAAAGAGCAAGGUAAAAUCUCCAAUCCAACUUUUUCAGUCAACUAAAACUCACUGUAGGCUGUUUGAUUAAAUUAGUUACUGUUUCUUAAGACAUUUACAUGAUAGAAUGGACCCCUAGUGAGACCCCAGUUAUUCACAUUGUAUCUUAAAUGUCAGCAAUUAUUGUCCUAUUCUUAGAAAAGAACAGUCUUUUUAGAGAAAGGUGCUCUAUGGUAGGUAGGUAUAGAUUGAUUGUUGGACAUAGAUCAUCCUCCACUGUGGACCUACAACCUGACGUGAAACAACCAUCAAAGACGAUUGCGGGGCGGAGACUUCCUCCACCAGGACAAGGGGGACGUGUGUGUCUUCUUUCUUCUGCUUCUGAUGUUGUCUCGUGUGGUGGGAGCUGACCACUGCACUGACACCGCAGCUGAUCCCAGGCCCAGGGUCUGCUAGCUGGCGGUGUGUACGACCUGCAGGAGGGUGACUUAAGUUCUGAGCUGAGAUCAGCCUUCGUCUGCAUCUGGUGUUAGACAGCGUGACAGAGGUCGACCUACCGACCGAAUCCUACCCACAGUGAAUGAGUGACCCGUCUAUUCAGCCAACGCACACGCUAAGACGAGAUCAUCCCCGCGCACACAUAGAGUUGUUCUACUAGAGUCACCCAACCAACAAGCCUUCAGGUCUACCAGAGGGCUGAUCCACACAGAUCAGAGUUCGACCUUUUUGUUCUUUUAAACCAUUACCUAUCUACCAGACCCCCUACGUACCUACCAGAGUUCUUCCGCCUCUGACUUAGCUUCUGAAAGAGAGCUGACGAGAGAUCAGUCUUCAAGAGCCUCGCAGCGCAGUGUCUCUCCAAGUUGUAGUCAUCCGCCCUUUCAUCCUUCGCUUCUCUGUACUUGUUGUUUCUGCCACUGUCUCCAAAGGUAACCAAAAAUCAACCCCCCCUGACAAGAUCAUGUUAAAUAAAAAUUCAGACAUUAUAUGGUCAGUUAAAAUAAGUGGUGAUUGUAGAGUUUAAGUAUAUUAUUCAAACCUGUUUUCUUGGUAAUAGUCAUGCAGGUGUUAGCUCCUGUGUCUUUUUUUUUUAAUCUAAUCUAGCAUUGAACUUCAUUCUUUCACUUGCCAUUAUUUUCACAAGGAGAGGAAAAUCAAGCUAUCUGUCCUAACGUGGCUGGGUAUGAAACUAACCCACACCAGAAGUGUUCUAUCUCUACUGUAGGCCAGUGGCUUCUGGUCCUGUUCCCUGUCAUAUUUCCUUUGCUUUAUAAAGCGCAUGAUGCUGAGGUUCAGAACUCCAUGCUUCCACAGUCUAGCCUGAUUUACUGUUUGCAGCACGACCUUAAGUCAAUACAUUUCAUUGUUUAAUAUUCUGCUUUAAUUUAGAGGAGAUUUGUUUUACACUUGGCUUUAAUACUAACUAAGCUAUCAACUGUUAGCAUAAAAAUUGCUUGUCCUAAAUAAACUAACCUGGUCAUGCAGAAUUUAAUUUUUUUAUGGAACAGCUUUGAGAAUCAGUAAGAGUCACUGGUCAAUUGCAGUAUAGUUCUGUAUGCAUUCCUAACUUUUCUGCCACUUCCACUGCUAAUGUUGCACCUGAGGCAUGGAAAAUGCAGCAUUGGCUAUUGACAUUCACAAUGGAUUUUCAUUAUUCCAAGUCUGGAGAUUAUGUUGCAUGUUAUAUUGUGAGACUAGUUAAAGUCAUUGAUCGCAGCCUUACUGGCUUGUUUAAAAAAUAUCUUCUAAAAGAUCAGUACUUGACCUCAAAGUAUUUCUCUCUCCUGGCGAGUAAAUGAAUGAUGUUUAAUGCUGUGCUUACUUGGGUUUCUUUCAGGACUGUGGGGAGUGUUGUAGCGCAAUACAGCUGUAGUAAUAGGUGCACACCACCUUUAACAUGCAUGUACAGUGUGUGGAUACAUAGUGUGUGGGAAUGACGAAAGAGUUUAUGGGAUUAGUAUUUGAGAGGCUUUCUCAGACACUAACGUUAUUUUCAAUCCUUUAUUUUUCGUCUGUGGCAGAGUCUUUUGUGGUCUAAGGACCAGCAGAAGUCACUGUCGUGCACUUAUGACGUUAUCUUGAAAGUGAUUGAUCUGAUGCACUUCACUUUUUCAGUUUGAUAUCAACUAAAUUCUUAACACUUUUUAAAAUAAAUAUUUAAAAGAAAAACAUUUUUUUUAGAGCCCCAGAAAUGGAUACAUUUCAGGUUAGAUGUGUUUCAGCUUAGUCAUUCAGAGAAAUUGUGUACUUGUUUGUUCUGUCUUUGUGGCAAGCUAACACUUGUCUGUUUCUGUUUCAGUCGUUCCCGUUCAGGAAGUCCACACCCACACCGAAGCCCUACGCCAGCAGAAGACUGAGCAUCGAUGCCCUUUACACAGACACACACACACACAAUCACAUGGCACACUGCAUCACGUCUAUUUUUUGUUUUGUUUUGUUUUGUUUAAUUUUUUUUUUAGCCCUUCUGAAGUGUUUUUUGUUUUUUCUUGUGUUCUGUUGUUGAUGCAGGACUGUGUUAAAUACAGCCUUAUAGUCAAAACUAAAGUCAGUUCACCUGACAACGUGGUUUCAUGAGAUUGUUUUAAGUGCACUGCUGCUGCCUCGUGUCCUGUUUUCUAAAAGGUGUAAAGGUGACAGUGAAUGUUGCAGUUUGACUUUUAGCAGAGACUGUUCAUUCAAAAAAAAAGAGGAAUACCUGGAUGAUGGAGGUAAGGAAAUCAAAGAAGCUUUUACAUGCUUAAAGCCUUUCCCAGACUCUAAACCAAUUUAUUUGAUUUCACUCUGUUUAAGUUGUGUGAAAGGUUAAGUAAAAAAAAAUUCAUUUUUUUCCCUCGAAGUGACAAAAAUAAACCAUUAGCAUGCAUGCCCUUGAAUUGCCACAUUCCAAAUGUUUCUGUGCUGCACUGCUCACUAUUGGUUAUGUGUAGGUUCAUCAGUUCUUCCAGAGACUUGUAGUUUUAAAGUAAACAACAGUGCUGUAGUAUGAUUCUGAGGGUUAUUCUACAUGUUUGGUUCAGUUACUGGCCUCUGUGAUUAAACAGUUUUAUUUUUGAAUAAACCCUAAUCAUAGCCCUGUG
Molecule: RNA transcript, 3920 nt
Organism: Cynoglossus semilaevis (tongue sole)
Lineage: Eukaryota; Metazoa; Chordata; Actinopteri; Pleuronectiformes; Cynoglossidae
Gene: srsf7a
Gene name: serine and arginine rich splicing factor 7a
Exons: 8
Source: RefSeq, a predicted model, not a curated record